This 945-nucleotide long non-coding RNA is filed under the name Heterocephalus glaber (naked mole-rat). RNAcentral describes it as "lncRNA (ENSHGLG00000030256.2)". The record is from RNAcentral. Lineage: Eukaryota; Metazoa; Chordata; Mammalia; Rodentia; Bathyergidae.
GUCUGCUCUCCGAAACUCUGUUCUCAGUAAAAGCACCAUCAGGUCGAGAAAACAUGUACGUCAAUCAGUUCCUCUUUGCUUAAAUGAAUUCCGCAUGAAUUUGUCAUUUGCAACCAAGAGUUCUGACAAAUACAUUGCACAAGAAAAGAGAAAUCAUGAAUCAUGAAAAAUGGAUCUUAAUUCCUUUAAGAUGAUGGAGCCAGCAGCAAAUCACAUCUCUGUGCUGGGAACAGAGACAUCUAGAGAACAACUUCUUCGUGAGAAGAAAGAGAAGAGCUCUGGGAAUCAAGAAAGAACCAGUAGGAAAGCUAAAAAUCACAGAGAACAGAAGACAACCAGAGAAAGGAAUGAAGCAGUGUGGAAAGCUAACUCUGACUCCAGGGUAGAGGGGAUCUCACCCCCAAACACAAGAACCUAUGGAUGCCAAAUGGGACACAGAGUGAACAGCCUCUUCCAGGGAUACCUGAGAAAGCAGAAGACUGACCUUAGCAGUUGUUGUAUUACCUCCUCACAGAGGGGUCUGGACAAAGCCGUUGUCAAAGGAUCUCACUAUGUAGACCAGGAUGGCUUGAACUCACUAUGUAGCCCAGUUGGCCUCGAAUUCAUGGCGAUCCUCCUGCCUCAGCAUCCCAAGUACUGGGAUUACAGGUUUAUCCUGGAGGACUUUUUCCUAGAUUCCUGUAACUAAAAAUUAGCUACAACAAUGUUUCUGAAAGAGGUUUUGGAUAAGCCAUCUAAAGCCUUAUAUACUUGAUACUAUUUUUAUUUACUUGUAUUUAAAUGAUAGUUGGGCUAUAUAUAAAAUUCUAGGUUGAAAGUCCUUUUCCAUCAAUGUUUUAAAAUAUUGCUUCACUGUCUCCUUGUAUCCUAUUUUGUGAUCAAGGUUUUCUGUCAGUCUGUUUUUCCCUUUUGAUCAACUUCUACAUAAAUGUUUUGAAAAUGUUU